CCUACGGGAGGCAGCAGUGGGGAAUAUUGGACAAUGGGCGAAAGCCUGAUCCAGCCAUGCCGCGUGUGUGAAGAAGGCCUUCGGGUUGUAAAGCACUUUCAGUGGGGAAGAAAGCCUUGGGGCUAAUACCCUCGAGGAAGGACAUCACCCACAGAAGAAGCACCGGCUAACUCCGUGCCAGCAGCCGCGUAAUACGGAGGGUGCGAGCGUUAAUCGGAAUUACUGGGCGUAAAGCGCGGUAGGCGGUCUGAUAAGCCGGGUGUGAAAGCCCCGGGCUCAACCUGGGAACGGCAUCCGGAACUGUCAGGCUAGAGUGCAGGAGAGGAAGGUAGAAUUCCCGGUGUAGCGGUGAAAUGCGUAGAGAUCGGGAGGAAUACCAGUGGCGAAGGCGGCCUUCUGGACUGACACUGACGCUGAGGUGCGAAAGCGUGGGUAGCAAACAGGAUUAGAUACCCUGGUAGUC
RNAcentral lists this ribosomal RNA (463 nucleotides) under Vreelandella stevensii. RNAcentral describes it as "partial 16S ribosomal RNA". It matches the Rfam family "Bacterial small subunit ribosomal RNA", at positions 338 to 795 of the family's 1533-position model. Lineage: Bacteria; Pseudomonadati; Pseudomonadota; Gammaproteobacteria; Oceanospirillales; Halomonadaceae. The record is from RNAcentral.